GGGUAGCUCAGUUGGUUUUGGCAUGGUGCUGACAAUGUCAAGGUUGCAAGUUCAAUCCCUGUAAGAGACA
This is a non-coding RNA of Podarcis lilfordi (Lilford's wall lizard), 70 nucleotides long. NCBI's taxonomy places the organism in Eukaryota, Metazoa, Chordata, Lepidosauria, Squamata, Lacertidae. The record is from the annotation of a GenBank genome assembly.